This 1089-nucleotide ribosomal RNA is filed under the name Escovopsis sp. Esc14. RNAcentral describes it as "SSU rRNA". It matches the Rfam family "Eukaryotic small subunit ribosomal RNA", at positions 58 to 1155 of the family's 1831-position model. Lineage: Eukaryota; Fungi; Ascomycota; Sordariomycetes; Hypocreales; Hypocreaceae. The record is from RNAcentral.
UCUAAGUAUAAGCAAUUAUACAGCGAAACUGCGAAUGGCUCAUUAUAUAAGUUAUCGUUUAUUUGAUAAUACCUUACUACUUGGAUAACCGUGGUAAUUCUAGAGCUAAUACAUGCUGAAAAUCCCGACUUCGGAAGGGUUGUAUUUAUUAGAUUAAAAACCAAUGCCCUUCGGGGCUCUCUGGUGAAUCAUGAUAACUAGUCGAAUCGACAGGCCUUGUGCCGGCGAUGGCUCAUUCAAAUUUCUUCCCUAUCAACUUUCGAUGUUUGGGUAUUGGCCAAACAUGGUGGCAACGGGUAACGGAGGGUUAGGGCUCGACCCCGGAGAAGGAGCCUGAGAAACGGCUACUACAUCCAAGGAAGGCAGCAGGCGCGCAAAUUACCCAAUCCCGACUCGGGGAGGUAGUGACAAUAAAUACUGAUACAGGGCUCUUUUGGGUCUUGUAAUCGGAAUGAGUACAAUUUAAAUCCCUUAACGAGGAACAAUUGGAGGGCAAGUCUGGUGCCAGCAGCCGCGGUAAUUCCAGCUCCAAUAGCGUAUAUUAAAGUUGUUGUGGUUAAAAAGCUCGUAGUUGAACCUUGGGCCUGGCUGGCCGGUCCGCCUCACCGCGUGCACUGGUCCGGCCGGGCCUUUCCCUCUGCGGAACCCCAUGCCCUUCGCUGGGCGUGGCGGGGAAACAGGACUUUUACUUUGAAAAAAUUAGAGUGCUCAAGGCAGGCCUAUGCUCGAAUACAUUAGCAUGGAAUAAUGAAAUAGGACGUCGCGGUUCUAUUUUGUUGGUUUCUAGGACCGCCGUAAUGAUUAAUAGGGACAGUCGGGGGCAUCAGUAUUCAAUUGUCAGAGGUGAAAUUCUUGGAUUUAUUGAAGACUAACUACUGCGAAAGCAUUUGCCAAGGAUGUUUUCAUUAAUCAGGAACGAAAGUUAGGGGAUCGAAGACGAUCAGAUACCGUCGUAGUCUUAACCAUAAACUAUGCCGACUAGGGAUCGGACGAUGUUAUAUUUUUUGACGCGUUCGGCACCUUACGAGAAAUCAAAGUGCUUGGGCUCCAGGGGGAGUAUGGUCGCAAGGCUGAAACUUAAAGGAAUUG